Molecule: small nucleolar RNA, 181 nt
Organism: Clupea harengus (Atlantic herring)
Lineage: Eukaryota; Metazoa; Chordata; Actinopteri; Clupeiformes; Clupeidae
Product: small nucleolar RNA SNORA81
Source: RefSeq, a predicted model, not a curated record
GCCUUCCACUCAAAAGAACAGUGCUAAAACUGUGUAAUUCAGGUCUUUCUGUUUUAUGCAGUCAUGCCAGUACUGUUUCCCAGUGGAAGGAGAGCAAUUUGCUCUGCACCUGAAAUGAAAUGUGGCCGGACCUCUUUCUUAAUGUCCAGUGGCCAUUGUUUCUAGGUCCAGUGCCACAUCU